GCUUAUUUUAUCCAGGAGUUCUAGGUAAGACCACUUUUUCAAAUAUCCUCUGAACGUUGACUUAGGUGCACACACCUGUGCUUCCAUUGGCAACAAAAGCUUUGAAUGCACAGGACUUCCACGGCAUGAAAUGCAUUUACAUACAUUACAUAAGAGAGAAGCAAUGAGCAAGUCUGUUGCUGGGAGAGGCUCACAUCCUUCUCACCAAAUCAAUCUGUAACUUUCAAAUAGCUCUGCUGUAUUUCCUAGCAACAGGAGUAAACACUGUACUACAUCCAGUGCCCAAGAUUUGUAACCACGUUAAUCUGUUAGAAGCCUAGAUGUGUGACUGGAGAUGCCUCCUGUCCAUUCAAUCUGACUCCAAUGUGGUUCUGCAGCACUGGACAAAGAUGGGAGAUUGAAACAGGAGCCCCUGCGAUGGGGGAACAGAGCCAGGGAGCAGGGGUUGGACAGAACCCAGGUUUGAGAAAACAACCUUGUGAACCUUCUAUUGGAGCAGCAAUAAAGAUCUGAGCUAAGUGUCGAGGGAGGCUGAGGAGGUGGUCACUAAGUCUGUCUUAGGCAUCCCAGGGUCUCCUCAGAGUCCAAGCCUGAAGUCCACUGCAGGGGUCACCAGCCACCUGUGGCCACAUUGGAAUGUGGCCAUUCUGAAUUGAGGUAAGUAAAAAACAUACACCAAAUUUCAAAGAUGUAAUAUGGGAAAAAAAGAAUGUAAGGUACUUGGUUAAUGAUUUUUUAUAUGGAUUACAUAUGGAAAUGCUACCAUUUUGGCUAUAUUGGGUAAGAUAUAUUAUUAAAAUUGAUGUCACCUGUUCCCUUUUACUUUUUUAAGCGCGCCUGCUAUAAAAUAUGAAAUUGCCUGCAUGGCUCCCAUUCAUGGAUCCUAUUACAUUUCUAUCUGCCAGUGUAGGUUGGUGCAGUCACAAGACAAUGCUUCAGGAGAAAAUCUGGGGAGGCGGUCUCAGGGCAAGAGGGUGAGUGGGGGAAAUGCCUAUGGAAUGAGAAAGAGACAACAGGGGGACCGACCCAUCAAGGGCUACAAAGAAGGUGAAUUUGCUUUCUGAGUUGUGCUUGCCUGCCGGACUCAUUUGCAGCAAGAGAGACCAGAAUAUAAAGGCCACGAUAAUAACAUCUCAAAUAAAUUAGAAGCAGCUUGUGGUUUAUAGUGAGCAAUGCUCUACUGGGGACCAGACCAAGCAGUUACCCCUGUCUUCACUCCAUCUGUGGUUAAGUCAUUUGGUCACUGUUGCCUUCUCAUCUGCAAAGCGGGGACUGAGAUUAACUGCUUGGCCUGCAUAUCCCCCUGACUCUGUCAACUAAGUUUUCGGAAACCUGAAGCACUCUAAACAUCCUGGGGGAAGAAAGGGCUGGAGAAACAUACAAUGUUUUGUGAUCAGAGUUUUUAAGCUGAAAAGAAUGAAGAAACUUGAAUAGAAUAAAUUCUUGAUACUUCCUUUUUCAUAACACUUACCACGCUUUAUUUCGAUUAUUUAUUAGCCCCCUUCCUAGCUAGAUAUAAGCUAGCUAUAAAUACCAUGAGCUCAGGACCCACAUCUGUCUGCUCACUGCUGUGACCGCAACUUAGAGGACAGAGCCCAGAAUACAGGCCUCAAUAAAUACUGUGGAAGAGGGGUCACAUGGAGAAUUUGCAGUCAUUUUUGCUGUUGAGCAUCUGUUAAGUUAAAGUUUCCAAGUGUGCAAACUGUACUCGGAAAUGAGUAAGAAGUAGAAACUUACCUAGAGAUGAUCAAACCAGUAGUGCUGUCACUCUAAUGAUGUUAUCUGUCCCACUGUGAAAACAUUGUCACAGGUGAAGGAGGAGAGUGAGGUGAGACCUUCCCAGCCCUUGACUGCUCUUGCACUGGACACAUUCCAGGAAGCUCUUGUGGCAGAAGCAGCCACUUAACUUACUUUUAACAAGAGAAGCUGAAGGCUGAGGGAAGUCAGGACCAACAGAGGAUCCAAAUUUCAGUGGCACAAGUCUUAAGCUUCAUUUGGUUGCAUGAAUGAGUGCGGAAGCAGCAUGAAGUAGUGGUGAUACAAACCUGGGUUCUGUGUUUAAUUCUAUUCUCAGUACUUUCCCAGUGGGAGACUGUGAGUUCCCUCUCUGAACCUCGUUCUCCUCCAUGGCUUAAAACUGGACUCAUAAUGCAUGGCUUAGCUAUAAUGUACCUUUCAAAAAGGGCUGGCAUCCGGUAAACACUGAAUAAAUGGUUACAUGUCAAACACAGUAAACAUUCAACAAUGGCUAAUAUCUUCCUUCUGCAUCAGCUUUUAAAACAGAUUUUUUAACCUGGAGUCCAAGGAGUCCCAGGAAAUCCACAGACGAGAUUCAAUGGAUCCUUGAAAUCCCUAAAAUUAAAUACAAAGCGGGGAUUGAUGACCAAAGAAGGCAGCUAUAAUGUUUUAUUCUCAAGAUGAUGGUUACUCAUCUUAGAAUAAAAACAACAACAACAAAAAAUAACAGAUGAAUGGGAAGAGCCCAAUCAAAGCUUUAUUCUACUCCUCAACAACUCAGGUGAGUGUCUGGCCACUUGGCAGUCGCCAGGAGGAAGGAGCUUAGUGGCAGACAAACUGCUUCAAAUCUCUAAAUCUUUGUUUCCUCAUCUGUUAAAAAAAAAAAAAAAAAAAAAAGAUGAUAACAGUGACGCCUCCUACCUAGGGCUGCUGUGAGAACUAAAUAAGAAAGUAAUUGUAAGGCAUCUUUUAAGUACUCAAAACAGAGUGCCUCAUAAAUAUUAAUUAUUAAAUAUCCUCUCUGAUGAUAGGGGGAAAAGGAUUCCUUAUCUGGUCUCUGACCCAUAGAUUUUAGCCUGGAGAUUUACUCUGGGUCACUGAUAUUUUCCAGCCUCCUCCUUAAGGUUGUUAUUAGUGACCAAGUAAUAAGUAAGUAUAUAAACCAUUGAGAAAACUGUUGAAAAAGUGUCUGAGCAGCAGCUUCAAAGAGAAUCUGUCUUCAUGUCCCAGUAUCCUAAGAGGCAAAUGUGAAAAUCAAUUUAAAGGAAAUAGAAUAUACCUAAAGAAAGUCACCUGAAAAAAUGAAAGAUGAAUGAUUCAACACACAUUUUUCUCUCAUUUAUUUAAAAAUUUUUGAGAUACAUGGUGGGCAAGGCACUGUACUGAGCACAGGAUGUGCAAAGAUAAGGAAGUAAGUCCAGCUCUCAAGACAUUUAGUCUACAGAGGGAGACACACAUGUAUAUCCAACGCCAUACGUACCACAGGAUAAAGUGUGAUGUGGGGAGAGGCUGGGAGGGGAUGUUCAGCAGGGGCUUCUUGAAAAAGCAACACUUGAGAUGAGUUUGGAAGGAUAAGUAAAUGUUUAAUAGUUCAUAGUUUGAGAAAGAAGAAACAAUAUUCCACAGAGACAACAGCCCAUGUAAAAGCACAUGCAAUGAAGCAUUUAAGCAUGGGGAUAAUAUGGGCAGCUAGAAGAAGGCGUUGCUGAACAUACCAGCACCUACCCAUCCCCUGCACCCACAGGAGGAGGCAGGACUCACCUCAGAGAGAAUCUUGGAAUUCAUGGUAGGAGCCUGUACUUUUCUCCAGGACUAUGACAAGGUUUGGAAUGGUUCUUAGCAGGGAGUUAUAUAAUUCAAUUUUAUCUAUUCUUUAGAAAGAGCAAGCAGGCAGCGGUGAGGAGGAUGGAUUGAAAGCUGAGAGACUGAAGGCAGCAUUUGUAGAGGUGACUUGGGAAGAGUGAAACAUGAAAGGAAGUGGAGCAGGAGGUCUUGGUGACUGAUUAGGUGGAGGAAGAAAGGGAGAAGGUCAGAUCGAGAUCAUUCCCAGGUCUCUGGCUUGGAGGUGUAGUGAGAGGAUGAUAUGCCUGUCAGGGAAAACAGGUGUUAUAGUAUUUAAUAGAUAUCUGCUGUUUCUGCACGCACAGCAUCUCCUAUCUCUUCUUUUCAAUAUUUCCUUUUAAAAACUACCCCUUCCCUGCUCUCAGGUUAUAUGGUUUAGAAGAGUUUUGCUGACUAGUCUCCCAUGAGUUAAGCCUAAAGCUGCAGAUGAAAAUUUUGCCACCAUGAAGAAAAGAAGAAAUCAGAAUUGGAUUCUUUCUGAACUUUUCCUUUACAGUAGCCAGUAUAUGCCCUUUCCUACUUGAGCAAGUAUAAACUGGGUUUCUGUGAUUUGCAACCAAGUGUCCUGACAAACACAAGGAUGAAAGACAACUGUGUCUCAAUAAAGGAAAAAUAGUUUAUUUUUAUGAGUGGUGGAUUUAAAAAACCUACAUUACUGUGACAAGAGUACCUUAAAACAUUUAAGUCUACAAAAGGCACUUAGGGACUUUAUAGCAAACUCUACACUUAUAAUGAAAAGCCAGACCAGAUCAUUUUAAAAAAACGUUACUGCACGAGAUAAUGGCACAUCCACUCGUUCAAUUAACAUUUAUUGAGUGUCUUCAGGGGUUUUAGACUUGUGCAAUAAAAAUGAUAAAAACGUAUUCUUUGGUUUGAGCUGGUCCAUCCAAGGUCGUUCCAUAAAGAGCAGCUGUGUAUGCUGUUCAGACUAAUUGUGUGAAGCUGGAGAGGCCAGGUGUUUCUGUCUGGCCCAGCAGCUGCACUUUGCGGUAAGGGCACCACCUGAAUUUCAGUCUGGCCAUAAAAUGAGGCUGAAGAAACAGCACCUUGCAUGAGCUUUUAGGUGAAAGGCAGAACAG
This 4658-nucleotide long non-coding RNA is filed under the name Homo sapiens (human). RNAcentral's name for it is "HSALNT0093598". The record is from RNAcentral. Lineage: Eukaryota; Metazoa; Chordata; Mammalia; Primates; Hominidae.